This 73-nucleotide transfer RNA is filed under the name Thermodesulfovibrio aggregans. RNAcentral's name for it is "tRNA-Ala". It matches the Rfam family "tRNA". Rfam says of the family: Transfer RNA (tRNA) molecules are approximately 80 nucleotides in length. Their secondary structure includes four short double-helical elements and three loops (D, anti-codon, and T loops). Lineage: Bacteria; Pseudomonadati; Nitrospirota; Thermodesulfovibrionia; Thermodesulfovibrionales; Thermodesulfovibrionaceae. RNAcentral also lists the same sequence under 2 other names. The record is from RNAcentral.
GGGGCUGUAGCUCAGCUGGGAGAGCGCUUGAAUGGCAUUCAAGAGGUCGGGGGUUCGACUCCCCUCAGCUCCA